Molecule: long non-coding RNA, 1261 nt
Organism: Zingiber officinale
Lineage: Eukaryota; Viridiplantae; Streptophyta; Magnoliopsida; Zingiberales; Zingiberaceae
Exons: 3
Source: RefSeq, a predicted model, not a curated record
AGUUCCACAGGUCGUUAGCAUUGUCCCACGUCGCAGUCAUAUAGUCAAAAAUCAAUAUAUUGAUAUAUGCGCAUUGGGGUUAGCAAAAGGAAGAACGCUGAAAGAAGGGACGAGCGAAGCGACGUGUGAGAAGAGGGAAGGGGCGAAGAGCUGAGCCGAAAGGCGAAGGGCCGAACUACAAGGAGGCAGCGACCGAUAGGGAAUCAACCGAUUGAGCUCGCCCGAAGGGCGAGGGGGAUUGUAGACCCUGAUAGAGCUCGACUGAUAAGGAGAGGGGCGAAGAGCUGAACGAAGGGAAGGGGAUCCGUAAGGAUCGAGCUCGACUGAUAAGGAGAGGGUACCCACUGGAGAUGGAUAGGUGAGACGAUAGUCGAUUGGCGACAAAAGGAGAAUAGAGCCAGCGCAAUACCAUCAUGACUUUUGGGAAUCAACCGAUUGAGCUCGCCCGAAGGGCGAGGGGGAUUGUAGACUUAGAUAUGCUCGACCAUAAGGGAGAGGGUAUCGACAGAUAGAGCUCGAGCGUAUGCGAGAGGGGCGACUAAAAGAAUAGCAGUAUUGAGCCAGCGACCGUAAGGUCGAUAGUAGGAGACAGAUAGAGCUCGACUGAUAAGGAGAGGGGCGACACAAGGGGAAUAGAGCCAGCGCAAUACCAUCAUGACUUUUGGGAAUCAACCGAUUGAGCUCGCCCGAAGGGCGAGGGGGAUUGUAGAGACAGAUAGAGCUCGAGCGUAUGCGAGAGGGGCGACAAAAGGGGAAUAGAGCCAGCGCAAUACCAUCAUGACUUUUGGUCGAUUGUAGACGUAAGGAUAGAACUCGACUGAUAAGGAGAGGGGCGACGGAAAGAAUAGCAGGAAUAGAGGCAGCGCAAUACCAUCAUGACUUUUGGGAAUCAACCGAUUGAGCUCGCCCGAAGGGCGAGGGGGAUAGUAGGAGACAGAUAGAGCUCGAGCGUAUGCGAGAGGGGCGACAAAAGGGGAAUAGAGCCAGCGACCGAUAGGUCGAUUGUAGACGUAAGGAUCGAGCUCGACUGAUAAGGCCAAAGAAUACACAUCAGUAUUAAUCUAAAUGGCCGUUGAGCCAUUUACGACUGUUGCUGUGGGGCGAAGAGCUGAACGAAGGGAAGUGUACCCACUGGUGAGACGCUAGUCGAUUGGCGAAGAGCUGAGUAUUGCGUAAGGGAAGUGUACCCACCGGAUAGGUGAGCCGUUAGGCGAUUGGCGAAGAGCUGAACGAAGGGAAGUGAAGAGGCGAAGAGCUCAGA